UAGAGUUUUGAUCUGGCUCAGAUUGAACGCUGGCGGCAGGCCUAACACAUGCAAGUCGAACGGUAACAUUUCUAGCUUGCUAGAAGAUGACGAGUGGCGGACGGGUGAGUAAUGCUUGGGAACUUGCCUUUGCGAGGGGGAUAACAGUUGGAAACGACUGCUAAUACCGCAUAAUGUCUUCGGACCAAACGGGGCUUUUAGCUCCGGCGCAAAGAGAGGCCCAAGUGAGAUUAGCUAGUUGGUAAGGUAACGGCUUACCAAGGCGACGAUCUCUAGCUGUUCUGAGAGGAAGAUCAGCCACACUGGGACUGAGACACGGCCCAGACUCCUACGGGAGGCAGCAGUGGGGAAUAUUGCACAAUGGGGGAAACCCUGAUGCAGCCAUGCCGCGUGUGUGAAGAAGGCCUUCGGGUUGUAAAGCACUUUCAGUUGUGAGGAAAAGUUAGUAGUUAAUACCUGCUAGCCGUGACGUUAACAACAGAAGAAGCACCGGCUAACUCCGUGCCAGCAGCCGCGGUAAUACGGAGGGUGCGAGCGUUAAUCGGAAUUACUGGGCGUAAAGCGCACGCAGGCGGUUUGUUAAGCUAGAUGUGAAAGCCCCGGGCUCAACCUGGGAUGGUCAUUUAGAACUGGCAGACUAGAGUCUUGGAGAGGGGAGUGGAAUUCCAGGUGUAGCGGUGAAAUGCGUAGAUAUCUGGAGGAACAUCAGUGGCGAAGGCGACUCCCUGGCCAAAGACUGACGCUCAUUGCGAAAAGUGUGAGGGCC
RNAcentral lists this ribosomal RNA (766 nucleotides) under Alteromonas sp. RNAcentral's name for it is "bacterial SSU rRNA". It matches the Rfam family "Bacterial small subunit ribosomal RNA", at positions 1 to 769 of the family's 1533-position model. The record is from RNAcentral. Lineage: Bacteria; Pseudomonadati; Pseudomonadota; Gammaproteobacteria; Alteromonadales; Alteromonadaceae.